CUGGAUGCUGUGUGUGUUGUUAAUUCGCCCCCACCACUUUGAGCAUCGUGACGUCUGAGGGAUCUGUAGUGGAUUACUCACUCAGGUCAUUGACUCUGUCGGACACACAUUUGCUGUGUUCUUGAAAGAGGGGAAACAACACCCAGGUGGCGGAAAGGUUCAGCCACAAGUUCAAGUGGACAUGAAGAGGAUGUUUCCAAUCAUGGAAGAGUCUAGGACCAAGGAACACAGCCUCAGUAUUCAAAGCAAAUCCCUUUAGAACAGAGAUGAGAAGGAAUUUCUUUAGCCAGAAGGUGGUGAAUCUGUGGAAUGCAUUGCCAAAAACAGCUGUGGAGGCCAAGUCAUUGGACACAUUUGAAGUGGAGCUUGAUAAGGUUAUGAAAAGAUGGCGCCAGUGGUUUUUGCAGAUCCAGGCUUGGUGAAGAAACAACACACACACACACAGGAAUUCAGCAGGUCAGGCAGAAAAACUGGCUGGUGAAGAGCUUCUGACAAAGAUGAUGUUAACAAAACACUGUUUUGGUAGUGUUGAACGCCUUGUUGGUGGAGGUUGGUACAUUCCAUGCAUACUUCUCCAGCUUGGAGUAUUUGAUGUCCGUUGCAACACAGACAGAGGCCACUUGGCCCAUGAAAUCUACAUACAGCACAAACCAGGCCCUUCCAGCUCUUUGAGCCCUGAUGCCCAGCAACCGCUGAUUUAACCCUAGCCUAAUCACGGGACAAUUUUCAAUGACCAAUUAACCUGUAAAGAAAUCAGAGCAUCCAGAGGAAAACCCUGCAGUCACAGGGAGAAUGUACAAACUCCUUACAGGCUGCUGGCAAUCCCAUACAUCCCAUCCCCUCCCCUGCCCAAGAUCGCUAACAAUCGCAGAGUUAUACAGAGUGCAGUCCGUCACACAAACCAGCCUCCUCUCUACUGAUUCCAUUGACAAGUUCAAGCUGUAAUUUUAUUAUCAAAGUACGUAAAUGUCACCACAUAACUACCCUGAGAUUCAAUUUCUUGUGAGAUUCACAGUAGAUACAAAGAAAUACAAUAGAAUCAAUGAAAAACUACACACAUAGACAACCAAUGUGCAAAAGAAGUCAGACUGUGCAAAUACAGAGGAAAAAUACAAAUAAUAAACAUAAAUAGUAAAUAAAUAAUUACUGAGAACAUGAGUUGUAGAGUCCUUGAAAGUGAGUCUGUAGUUUGUGGAAUCAGUUCGGAGUUAAGGUGAAUGAAGUUAUUCACACUGGUUCAAGAGCCUGAUGGUUGCAGGUAAUAGUUGUUCCUGAACAUGGUGGUGUGGGAACUAAAGCUCCUGUACCUCCUUCCCAAUGGCAGCAGCAAGAAGAGAGCAUGGCCUGGGUGGUGGAGAUGCUGCUUUCUUGUGGCAGUCCUCAAUGCAGAUGUGUUCACUGGUGGCGGUGGCUUUUCCUGAUGGACUGGGCUGUAUCUACCACAUUUUGUAGGCUUUUCGACUCACAGGCAUUGGUGUUUCCAUGCCAGGCUGAGAUGCAACCAGUCAGGAUAGUCUCCAAUGUGCAUCUACAAAAGUUUGUCAAAGUUUUAGAUGACAUGUCAAACUUUUAAGAAAGUAGAGGCACUUUCUUUGUCAUGGCACUUUCCAUUGCCACAGAAAAUAGUACAAUCAAGAACUCCUCCCAUCCUGGCCAAUUUCUCUGCUCCUCUCUCCCUUCGAGCAGAAGAUAGAGAACCCUGAAACCAUGUACCUCCAGGAUCAAGGACAACUUCUAUUCAAUUCAUGCAAUGAACCCUUGGUCUCACUCUGGCCCUCGAACUUCACUUGUCCACUGACACGGCACCAUCUCCGUAACCGCCACACUACUUCUGCAUUCUGAGUUAUUUUCACUAAUCGCUUUACAGUGCUGGCUAUAAGAUCAGUGUUUGAUUCCCGCCACUGUCAGUAAGAAAUUCUCCCACAAUGCAUUUCACUGUAUGUUUUGAUAUACAUAUUCAAUGGUUCCAGUUAACAUCAGAGAAUAUAUACAAUAUAUAACCUUAAAUUCUUACUCUCCACAGACAUAAGACCCCAAAGAACGAAACACAGUAAAAAAUAAGAACUCCAAAGCCCCCUCUCCCCUCCCAUGCACAUGCAGUAACUCCCCUUCCUCCAUUUAUUCUAGCUGAAAGCAUCAGCACUCCUACCACCCACCAUGCAAACAUCAAAGCCCCCAAAGAGAGACCAAGGUCUACAGUACAUUAAAAGCUAACAGUUCAUUCCAACAAUUCGAUAGGCUCUCUCUAUCAUGAGCAAGGGAGAGAGAAAGAGAUAUCACUCCUUCCACAGUGCGAGGGGAGACAAACAGUCACUGUUAAGAUGUUACAGUCACAGUCAGAAGUGUCUCUUUAUUCAAGUUCCCCAACUUGAGAAUCGGCAGCAAACUUGCCCUAACACGAGAGAGAGGAGGAGAGAUCAAUCACCGAGUGCAGAGGCCUCCGACAGCUGCUCUCACUGUCUUGAAGUUCCAUCUCCUGCUAUGCUUCAGUUCACGACACUGCGACAAUUUAUGUCCACAAGGCUGUAUGCUACAGAGAAGGCUAAUCUUUAAUCAGAGUGGUUAUGCAUAGAAUGAUUUGUUUGGAUGGCAGGCAAACUAAAGUUUUUCACUGUGUCUUGGUGCAGGUGACAAUAGUAGCCACAGCCAACGUCAAUAUAAUUCUCCCAACUGCUGCAGGAUUACACCACACAGUAAGGGUGAUUUACAACAGUUAAUUAACCCACUGACCCUGCAACAUCAUUGGGAUGUGGAAGGAGGCUGGAACACCUUGGGGAAACCCCAUUUACAGGGAGAAUGUACAAACUUCACAAACAAACUAGAAUCUGAACAAACAAACCUGAAUCAUUUCUGUAUCUCUCACCACCCAGGCACCCGCCACUGUGUAAAAAAAUUGUCCCAUACAUCUCUUUUGAACUUACCCCAUCUCACCUUAAAUGCAUGUUUUCUAGUGGGAAACAUUCCAAGCCUAGGGAAAAGAUACUGGCUCUCUACGCUGUCUGUGCCUCCUAUAAUCUCAUCAGGUUUCCCUUCCCUCCAAGAGGACCACAAUCUUGUUGUAGGGUUUGGAGGUUUGCGUGCCUCAGUGACCCAGAGACCUAUGUUGGCUGGAGUCAGGACCUUAAGCUUUGGCUCUUGGUAGGGUCACCCAUGCCAAACAGGCGGUCCACUGGUCCUCCAGGUUUGGGGAUUCAACACAGGGCUAACAACCCUGAUCAAAAAACAAUUGUUAUGGAAACAGCAAUGAAGAAUCCUUCUACAUGUGUGCGUGAAGGUAUGGACAACCAGAGGUAGAGGACCAUCGUUGCUGCCCUAAAUGGUCGGUAGAUAAGUAAGGAAGGUCUCCUUUCAGCCUCCACCACUCCAGAGAAAACACCCCAAAUUUCUCCAAAUUCUCCUCAUAUCUCAUGUUGUUUAUUUAAUAUUUCAGCAAUAUCAGAGUAAUUUUGUGAAUGUAUUGUUUGAGUAAGCAUUCUUUAUUUGUUUAAGUAACACAUUACGGGUUAUAUGAAAAAUCCCAUUCAUUGCAUACGUCAUGACGCUACCAUGUAGGAAGUGCGUACCCUG
This is a long non-coding RNA of Hypanus sabinus (Atlantic stingray), 3567 nucleotides long. RefSeq lists it as uncharacterized. Lineage: Eukaryota; Metazoa; Chordata; Chondrichthyes; Myliobatiformes; Dasyatidae. The transcript has 3 exons. The record is from RefSeq and is a predicted model, not a curated record.